Molecule: long non-coding RNA, 2715 nt
Filed under: Lathyrus oleraceus (garden pea)
Lineage: Eukaryota; Viridiplantae; Streptophyta; Magnoliopsida; Fabales; Fabaceae
Description: Pisum sativum (pea) long non-coding RNA (PSAT_LNC041761)
Source: RNAcentral
AGAAAACAUUAAAAUCAAUCAUAAAAAAACGUAGAGAAGCAGCAAUCAAAUAAAAAAAGACAUUCAUACCAAUCUCACUCCCUCACGAGAAAUCCAAACUGUCACAACGAAAUCCAAUGGCGGUUGAGAAGGUAAUGCUAAAAACUCUCUUCCGAAUGCUCUAUUGUUGGUCGGUUCACCCUCCUCCUGAACCCGCUCACUUGCUUCGCCUUUUCACCUUCUACUCUGUGUCUUUGUUGUCGGUAUUGAAUCGGUUUUGAGUGACAAAGCUUAGCUCAGGCCGAUUACGUUUUUAAGUGAUUGCUCAACAAAUCUUCUGAAAAAUGGAGCUUUGAGUGACGUUCACCAUACGUUUCUGUAGGGAAACGGUAGGGUUUUCUUUCUCUCUUUUCUAUCUGAUUUUUUCUUUGUGAACAGUAUCGGCGCCCCCCUUUACAAUUAGGGUUGGUGUCCUUUUUAUAUGUGUGGAAAGUGAGUACAACCGGUGCGCAAGAACACGUCAGUGGGGUUUUUGAAUCAAUCUCUUGCUAGCGGUUUUUGUCCUCAAGCCCUGAUUCAAAGAAUCCUUUUUGAGUGGUGGUGAGAGUGUGUACGGGAAUCCUUGGGAUUUUUGUCUUUGUCUGCCUUGUGGUCCCCCUUCCACUCCCAGCUUAAACCUUUACCGUUAGUAAUUGGCUAUUUACUGUUGUGAAUUCUUGCUUUAUGAAAUUAUUAACUCAUGUAUUAUGCUGCAGAUGGGAUGAAACACUUUUGCAGGGCAAGGUCUUGUGAAGGGUGGUGAGUGUGGAGCUCUUCGCAACAUUCUCAGAGGAUCCUCCAGUGGAAGGCCACUGUGGUCAAUCAAAUCAAACAGCGCCGAGUAACGCUUCAACUAAUUGCAGACUCUUGAGUCCAGCCUCGCCUUGUUGUGUUCCGCUUCUUGUUCUACAAUAACGGUAAUUGUAGGAUUGAUGCUGCGAAUGAGACCCAAAAAGUCUCUCAAUGCUCCUCCACUGCCAUCAUGGAGGGUCUUGUGGAGCUGGAAAACACAGUUCACAGCCACAGUUUCAUGUUCCUAAAACUCAACAUCUCUUUGUACAAUUCUUCUGCUAAGAUGUUCUUCCUCUAAAUCGAUGUCACCCAUCUAGGCCAUGAUUUGCAACUUCCAACAAAAGCUUGCUCGCAUCUCGACUCUAAGCACUCACUCACGUAGUCGAAUAAAACCUUCCUAUCAAGCUUAGAGUACUCUUCUCCUCAGUAUGUUGUUGUUCCAGUACUGUGAUUCUCCAACAGAUCGAAGAGAUUUGGCAUUAUGAUUGUGUUAGUUCGACCCAUGAGGAAUUCUUCUGCCAUGAACUCUGCAUUGCCGAGUAUGUUCUGUACAUAGUCAAGUUCCAUAAUGCCUGAUCUUUUAAAAUCUACCAUGUUCGGUGAUCUGAUUAUUUGUGUGACAGACAUGUUACGUGCAGUAGAUACGGAAGAGCUUUGCUCUAACGACGUCGCUUCAUUUUCAAGUGAUUCAGAUCCGUUUAUCUGGGAAAUGUUAGAUACUUCCUCAUCUUGCAUGGAUGAAUAAAUCGUGCUGCCAUAUGUACUAUCUUCACUAUCCAUGUAACUUUCACUAACAGAAGGACCUUGAAAGUUUGUAUCAGCAUUGGAAUACUGAAAACCAAGACCAUUUCCACUUUCAUCGUUGCUACUAUAGCUAGGAUCUUCUCUUACUUCCGAUGUCUGUAGUUGUUGAUUCGUGUUAAGCACUAGCUCGUCAAUUGAAUAAUAUCGAUAGUUAUGCAUUCUAUCAAGUUCAUCACUGAACAUUUCAUCUUGUUCCUUAUCUAUGGUGUUUACGAUACUGGAUGCUUUAUCUUACAAACUAGAUCUCAAAUCAGUAGAUGGCUCCUCCGAGGCUAGGGUACAUUGAGGUAAGUUAAGUCUCGGUGUUAAUUCUUGAAGCUUUUACUCCAACAGAACACUCAAUGUAUCACUAUCUAUCAUAUGUGUCGGAGAUAGUGAUAAUUUUUUGGGAUGAAGAUUAUCAUUGUGCCCGAGAGAGUCGACACCAGAUCUAGUUCUGGUUUUCGUCACCUAGUCAGAGGAUAGUGACUCCGGCAUGCUUUUCCUCAAGGGAGAUGUAAAUGUAAAUGAAAUAACAUCACUGCUUUCGUUCAUGUUAAAUGCAUUCUGAUCAAUACUUCCAUCAGUCGUAUAAUUGCAUUUUAUGGACUUGCUUUCGAAAUCGCUUUUUGCAUGAUCGGGACUUCUUGCCUCGUGAAAACCUUCGUUGUUAUACUUUUUCUCUUGGGAAAUACUUUGUGUUUUGGAUGGAGGAAACUCCUUUCGGUUAUCAGUUACCCUAGAGCCUGACCUUUUAGGAGGAAUAUUGACAUUCGUAGCACUCUUGUUUGUUGCCUUCCUAAUUCCGGUAGAACUUUCAGAAGAAGAACCUCGCGUUGUUGGCUUGUUUGAAUCUAUUUUUGAGGCUGAUUUACCUUUGGAAAUCAUGCCGUUUUGCUUUUGAUUAUUCUGAAUCAGCACAUUGCUGUUACGACUUGCAUUCGUUUUCUGCGGCAAUGCUCGGUUUAUAAUUGGUUUUUGGCUUUGAUAGUGACCAUUGUGAUUUGGUUUAAUUUUUGUAGGGCCACAGUUGUGUUUGCUGUAGUGACCAUGCCGCUGGACUAACCAGUUGUACCAGCAUUUGCCGUUUGAGUUUGGGUCUUUUCUCGGGAUAGAAACCAG